Molecule: long non-coding RNA, 2674 nt
Organism: Piliocolobus tephrosceles (Ugandan red Colobus)
Lineage: Eukaryota; Metazoa; Chordata; Mammalia; Primates; Cercopithecidae
Exons: 2
Source: RefSeq, a predicted model, not a curated record
AUGGUCCACCCAUAUAGGUCACAUGCCAUGACUGGAGCUUGCAGGACUGGAAGUUGCUCUGGGUGAGUCAGUAAGUGAGCGGUGAGUGAAUGUGAAGGUCUAGGACAUUGCUGUGCACUACCGUAGACUUUAUUUAUAAACUAGAUAUUUAGGCUACACUAAAUUAAUAAAAAUAAUUUCUUCAAUAAUAAAUUAACCUUACUGUAACUUUUCAACUUUAUACACUAUUUUUUAAAAUUUUUUGACUUUUGUAAUAACAUUUAACUAGAAACACAAACACAUUUUACAGCUAUACGAAAAUAUCUUUUUUUCCUUAUAUCGUUUUCUAUAAUCUUUUCCCUAUUUUUGAAUUUUUUCGUUUUAGUUUUUAAACUUAAGAAAAAUCCUACAAGAUAAGUACUUGGAAAAUUCAUGUCAUGUAUCCAAAACUUCCCAGCAUAUUAUAAGGACCACUCAUUGUUAGGGACAACUUAAUUAACAGCUAGAAGGAGAAGCUCCUGUCAAAACAGACCGAAAAGGGAGUGGAAAUGUUGAGGUAUUGUUUUCACCCUCAAUCACACAAAAGAAUUUCCUUCAUUGGCUUGCCAAGAUAUACAAUUCUAUUAAGUCAAGAAUCAUUCUUGUCAGGAUCAUCAAAAUACUACCUAUAGUAUACAUUGUCAGGAUCAUCAAGUAGGCCUAUACAUUGUCAGGAUCAUCAAGAUACUACCAGAUGAUAGGAAUUUUUUUAUCUCGAUAUAAUCUUACAGGGUUACAGUCAUAUAUGUAGUCUGUUGUUGACUAAAAUGUUACUAUGCAGGGCAUGAUGGCAUUGCUAAUGUAGGGAAGAAAGGACACACACACACAAACAAAAAAACAGAUGUCUUCAUGACCAAACGCAGUCAAAACAGUAGAAUCAAUGGAAACACAGCCUCACUUUCCCCUUCCAGACCUGAAGUGAGCACAUUUUUUAGCUGAACCUAAAUCGCCUACAGCACCCUAACUGCAAGGAAGCCUAGAAAAUAACAUUUUUUGGUUUUUCACCCUCUGCAGUUCAAGAAGGAACAACAGAAAGAGAGAAGUGGAGGUUGAACACCAGGCUACCUUUAAUUUACUUAUGGGGUUUGGAAGUUCUCACUCCAAUCCUCACAUCAAGAAAAAGCUUCCAAAAUGGAAUAACAAGAAUUCUCCAUAAAUGUUCUAGAAACUACAAGGUCUACUGCAUGUCAAAAGAUGAAAAGACAGGAGAUACGGAGAGUCAUAGCUUACCAGGACGAGAGACAUCAUUGGAGCCAGAAGCUGCAAAGGGCACUUAAAUGGCAACUGGAAAACUGCAAGAGGCUGCAACAAAGACUAGCUUGGGAAUUAACCAUUCCUGGGGGAGGGAGGGGCACAGCACUCUUGGGACCAAGCUCUCAUGGUAAAGAUGACAGAAAAAUCCUCUUAUGCUUCCAGCAGGGCACAGAGGAAAAGCAACCAUUUUGAAAUAGCACCAGAGCAUCCUAUUCUCAGAGGCAGGAGUUUGCCCUCAGGGAAAAUACUUUGCUGGAACCUUACUUGCCUAGGGGGAGUGCAGUUGGAAAGGACGCCUCAAGCACUCUCUGGCCUUGGCCUUUCUAUUUUACGUAAGGGGAUAAAAAGACUAGGAAAUGUCUCUGAAGAUCACAAUCCAGGGACUCAGGCACACUAAAAAAAACAGACAUUUAAUGAUGAGAUUAUAGAAUCCUUCUAAACCCUUCCAGCAUCUUACCAUCAUAUCAACAGAACUCCAAUAAAAUAACUGUGGAUUACAAAUGAGAGAGCUGAAAGACACAAACUCAACUUAAGAUACAAUUUUUAGGGAAACCCAAAGGCAACAGAGGAGAUCAAAAUAGGGAAACUAAAGGAAAUGGACGCCUAUAGGAAAUGGAGGUCUAUAGCUACAGCAAACAUUAAACACAGCCUAACUCCUACCUAGAUAAACAUAAAAUCUCACACUAAUGACCUUUUAACCUGAGCUCCUAUUACUGUAUCCAUCAUUUCCAGCUUUCAACAUAAGAUUUCAAUGCAUGAGAAAAGGUAAGGGGGAAAAAUUGUGAAGACACAAAGCAAAUAUCAAAACCAAACUUAUAGCUAGAAGAGAUUUUAGAAUUAUCAGACCAGAAAUAUAACUAUCAUUAAUAUGCUAAGGACUCUAAUAAAAAGAAGUGGGCAUCAUGUAAGAACAGAUGUGUAGUGCAAGCAGACGGUUGGAGACACUAAGAAGGAAUCAAAAGAAUGCUAGAUAUCAAAAACAAGAGAAUGCCUUUGACGGGCUCAUCAGUACACUUGACAAGGUCAGAGAAAGAAUCAGUGAGCUUAAAGAUAUGCCAGUGGAAAUUUCCCAAACUAAAGUGCAAAGAGAAAAAACAAAAAAUGAUGAACAGCAAUAAGAUAACACACAGAAUAUCCAAGAACUGUGGGACAAUUAUAACAUGCACAAUGAGAAUACCAGAAAGAGAAGAAUGAAAGAAAGGAGCAGAAGAAUUUUUGAAGUAAUAAUGGCUGAGAAUUUUCCAAAAUCAAUGACAGACACCAAAACAGGGCACUCAGGAUCUAGGAUGGUCAGAGAACACCAAGAAGGAUUCAUAGCAAAAAAUCUACAUCUAGAUGUAUUAUAUUUAAACUGAAGUAAGCCAAAGAGAAAAAGAAAAUAUCAAAAAAAGCCAGAGGUGGG